RNAcentral lists this long non-coding RNA (290 nucleotides) under Ricinus communis (castor bean). RNAcentral describes it as "long non-coding RNA (RCOM_LNC000346)". Lineage: Eukaryota; Viridiplantae; Streptophyta; Magnoliopsida; Malpighiales; Euphorbiaceae. The record is from RNAcentral.
UCUAUCAAAGAUGUUUGAUUACAACAUGAACUACAUAAGCUCAAAGUGCAAGACUCUUAAUACUCAGCCAGUGGUGGUGGUGGUGGUGGUGGAAGCGGGAUUAGAAGUAUUUCCUCCGAAGUCAUUUUGGUUGUUGUUCAACUGAGAUUGAUGGGUGGAGGUGGAGUCGUCAGAAGGAUUGCUGGAAAUAUUAUGAGCACUUGAAAAGAGAUCAACAGGCUCAGAGUCAGCAAUCUUCCCACCUUCAAGUGGGGUGCCAUGCUUGUAUCUAACCCUUACAGCUUCAUCGU